ACUCAAAUGAAUUGACGGGGGACCGCACAAGCAGCGGAGCGUGUGGUUUAAUUCGAGGCUACACGAAGAACCUUACCUAGGUUUGACAUCUUAACGAACACUGCAUGAAAGUGUGGUGGCCUCGCAAGAGGCGUUAGGACAGGUGCUGCAUGGCUGUCGUCAGCUCGUGCCGUGAGGUGUUCGGUUAAGUCCGCAAACGAGCGCAACCCUCGGUGCCAGUUACAAGUGUCUGGCGCGACUGCCCGUGGCAAACGGGAGGAAGGUGGGGAUGACGUCAAGUCAGCAUGGCCUUUAUAUCUAGGGCUACACACACGCUACAAUGGCGCGUACAGUGGGUCGCGAACUCGUGAGGGGGAGCUAAUCCUAAAAAGCGCGUCUCAGUUCAGAUCGCAGGCUGCAACCCGCCUGCGUGAAGUUGGAGUUGCUAGUAACCGCGCGUCAGCAGAGUGCGGUGAAUACGUUCCCGGUCCUUGUACACACCGCCCGU
Molecule: ribosomal RNA, 487 nt
Filed under: uncultured bacterium
Lineage: Bacteria
Description: partial 16S ribosomal RNA
Rfam family: Bacterial small subunit ribosomal RNA
Source: RNAcentral